Molecule: ribosomal RNA, 430 nt
Filed under: uncultured bacterium
Lineage: Bacteria
Description: bacterial SSU rRNA
Rfam family: Bacterial small subunit ribosomal RNA
Source: RNAcentral
AUCUUGCGCAAUGGCCGCAAGGCUGACGCAGCGACGCCGCGUGGGGGAGGAAGGGCUUCGGCUCGUAAACCCCUGUUGCCCGGGGCGAACCUCUGGUUUCGACCAGACUGACGGUACCGGGUGAGGCAGCACCGGCUAACUCCGUGCCAGCAGCCGCGGUAAUACGGAGGGGGCGAGCGUUGUCCGGAAUCACUGGGCGUAAAGGGCGCGUAGGCGGCACGUCAAGCGCGUGGUGAAAGCCCGGGGCUCAACCCCGGGUCGGCCGUGCGGACUGGCGUGCUCGAGCACUGUAGGGGCGGGUGGAAUUCCGGGUGUAGCGGUGGAAUGCGUAGAGAUCCGGAAGAGCACCGGUGGCGAAGGCGGCCCGCUGGGCAGGAAGACUCCGUAAGGAGUCGGCUGACGCUGAGGCGCGACAGCGUGGGGAGCAAAC